UGAAAAGCAAUGAACAGAAGAGAUUAAGAGGAAUUGAUAGAGAAUCUAUGGAUGGUGGAAAUAGAUAAGGAAUCUUAUGAAAAUGAACUGGGAGCUGCUGUUUCUAACAGGAACAGACGUAUACUCGCGUUAAGAGAUGAGAGAGCCCUUAGGGGAAUAAAGGUGGUACCGCGAGUCAUUCGUCCUUUAA
Molecule: non-coding RNA, 190 nt
Filed under: Eggerthia catenaformis
Lineage: Bacteria; Bacillati; Bacillota; Erysipelotrichia; Erysipelotrichales; Coprobacillaceae
Description: T-box sequence
Rfam family: T-box leader
About the family: Uncharged tRNA acts as the effector for transcription antitermination of genes in the T-box leader family. T-boxes are found upstream of many aminoacyl-tRNA synthetase genes and some amino acid biosynthetic genes usually in Gram-positive bacteria. The anticodon of a specific tRNA base pairs to a specifier sequence within the T-box motif, and the NCCA acceptor tail of the tRNA base pairs to a conserved bulge in the T-box antiterminator hairpin.
Source: RNAcentral